Lutzomyia longipalpis is the source of this 668-nucleotide long non-coding RNA. RefSeq lists it as uncharacterized. The record is from RefSeq and is a predicted model, not a curated record. The transcript has 2 exons. Lineage: Eukaryota; Metazoa; Arthropoda; Insecta; Diptera; Psychodidae.
AUAAAAGAAGAGAUUUGAUAUUUUGCCGUUAGAAAUUUCUUAUUAAGCAUUUCUUUAAUCCUUUUGGAAGGAAAUUCAACAAAUACAUAAACUAACCAACUUCGAGAAUAAUAAACUCUCGUGGAAUAAUCUCAAACUUAACUUUGGUUUAUGGUUUCCAAUCUGCGUGGAAAACCACAAUUUUUAUCAGAAACGGAAGCCCCAUGACGAACCCUCACUGUUUGUGCAGCUUAAACAAUCUCUUGUCUUUCAUUUAUUUCAUUUAUUAAUUCCCUUCCUUAAAGUGAAGAAGUGCAACAAAGAAAUCUACCAGAGAGAUGUUUAAAUUCUUCAAAUCAUCCCAAAGUUCUUCCUCAAAGGACAAAAGUUCAGACACACAGAGGAGAGGCACGAGAUUAAAGUGCGGAUGUAAGUGCAUUGAGGAGUGCAAGUGCAAACAUCACAAAACCAUUAAAUCCCCACUGAGGAUGAACCUCCUAUCAGAAACAUUGAAUUGAGAGUCAACUUAAACAGACAGAUUACCCUGGAUGAUAAAAGACCUGGCUUUAUCGCUUUGUUUUUCAAGCACAAAUUGGAGAAUUUUAUGAUUUUCUUUUUGCAUUAAGAUAACAUAAAUUAAAUAUUUUUUUUUAUAAAAAUAAUGUUGAAUAAAUAAUUUCAGAAAUAAA